Mus pahari (shrew mouse) is the source of this 148-nucleotide small nucleolar RNA. RefSeq annotates it as small nucleolar RNA SNORA48. Lineage: Eukaryota; Metazoa; Chordata; Mammalia; Rodentia; Muridae. The record is from RefSeq and is a predicted model, not a curated record. The transcript has a single exon.
CACCCCUAAGCAGUAGGCAAAGAGACAUCUUGUUGUUGUUGUUGGUGUUCUUGUAUCAGUCAGGGGCACAGCAGAUGGCAGACCUUUGUUCAUCCUAGCUUGAUGUCUGGCUUGGUGGCCAAUGCUGUGUUAUGUCUAGGACUCAUAA